GUUCCCGGGCCUUGUACACACCGCCCGUCACACCACGAAAGUCGGAAGUGCCCAAAGCCGGUGGGGUAACCUUCGGGAGCCAGCCGUCUAAGGUAAAGUCGAUGAUUGGGGUGAAGUCGUAACAAGGUAGCCGUAUCGGAAGGUGCGGCUGGAUCACCUCCUUUCUAGGGAGA
This 173-nucleotide ribosomal RNA is filed under the name [Eubacterium] sulci. Its description in RNAcentral is "partial 16S ribosomal RNA". It matches the Rfam family "Bacterial small subunit ribosomal RNA", at positions 1370 to 1533 of the family's 1533-position model. Lineage: Bacteria; Bacillati; Bacillota; Clostridia; Peptostreptococcales; Anaerovoracaceae. The record is from RNAcentral.